AGAAAAUGGUUGGAAUUGAGUUUAUAUCUAAUGGUUGAAACUAAAAUAGAUGCUAACAAAAUGUGGGAGAAAUUAAAAGAGUAGUAUGAACGAAAUAAUGUACAAAAUAAAGCAUUCUUAAUUUGGAAGCUGGUAUAUAUGAAAUACAAAGAUGGAGAUUCAAUGACAGAACAUAUGAGUAUUUGUUGUGACGUUGACCAAUUCAGCUCCAAGUGGAAAGCUGACAAUGUAAAUAGUAAAAGAGAGAAUGUUGAAUGAAGAAGUUUGAAGAAAGGGAUGUGGUUUGAUUGAUUAUUCCUAAGAGUUAGAAGCCCUAGUUACAGAGUCACGUGGGAAAAGUCAAUCUAGAAACUUCCAUAGACGCAACAACUCUGAAAGUCAUAGCAAGUAAAGAAGCAAAUCGAGGACUAGAUAAGAAGUGAUAUGCUACCAUUGUGGAAAACAGGUCACAUAAAAAGAAAUUGCGGAUUUUCAAAAGAG
Molecule: long non-coding RNA, 480 nt
Filed under: Cicer arietinum (chickpea)
Lineage: Eukaryota; Viridiplantae; Streptophyta; Magnoliopsida; Fabales; Fabaceae
Description: long non-coding RNA (CARI_LNC003175)
Source: RNAcentral